RNAcentral lists this ribosomal RNA (256 nucleotides) under Asterionellopsis glacialis. RNAcentral's name for it is "partial Bacterial small subunit ribosomal RNA". It matches the Rfam family "Bacterial small subunit ribosomal RNA", at positions 195 to 450 of the family's 1533-position model. The record is from RNAcentral. Lineage: Eukaryota; Bacillariophyta; Plagiogrammaphyceae; Rhaphoneidales; Asterionellopsidaceae.
UUGCGACCAAAGGUGCGAUUCCGGUACGGGACGGGCCUCCGUGGUAUCAGCUUGUUGGCGGGGUAAUGGCCCACCAAGGCUAUGACGCCUACCGGGCGUGCGAGCGUGGCCCGGCACACUGGGACUGAGACACUGCCCAGACUCCUACGGGAGGCUGCAGUCGAGAAUCUUCGGCAAUGGGCGCAAGCCUGACCGAGCGACGCCGCGUGGAGGACGAAGGCCUUCGGGUUGUAAACUCCUGUCGAGGGGGAGGAAC